RNAcentral lists this ribosomal RNA (253 nucleotides) under uncultured bacterium. RNAcentral describes it as "partial 16S ribosomal RNA". It matches the Rfam family "Bacterial small subunit ribosomal RNA", at positions 524 to 776 of the family's 1533-position model. The record is from RNAcentral.
UACGGAGGGUGCAGACGUUGCUCGGAAUCAUUGGGCGUAAAGCGCACGUAGGCGGCCGUGUAAGUCGGAUGUGAAAGCCCUGGGCUCAACCCAGGAAGUGCAUUCGAAACUGCACGGCUUGAAUAUGGAAGAGGGUCGCGGAAUUCCCGGUGUAGAGGUGAAAUUCGUAGAUAUCGGGAGGAACACCAGUGGCGAAGGCGGCGACCUGGGCCAAUAUUGACGCUGAGGUGCGAAAGCGUGGGGAGCAAACAGG